Acanthosepion pharaonis is the source of this 118-nucleotide non-coding RNA. Lineage: Eukaryota; Metazoa; Mollusca; Cephalopoda; Sepiida; Sepiidae. The record is from the annotation of a GenBank genome assembly.
UUGCGGCCAUAUCACGUUGAUGCACCAGUUCACGUAUUGAUCAUUGAAGUUAAGCAACGUCGUUGAACCGGGUCAGUACCUAAAUGGGUGACCGCUUGGGAAUACCAGAUGCUGUAUG